Molecule: transfer RNA, 35 nt
Filed under: Uroplatus fotsivava
Lineage: Eukaryota; Metazoa; Chordata; Lepidosauria; Squamata; Gekkonidae
Description: partial tRNA-Ser
Source: RNAcentral
GAGCCGAGAAAAAAGAGCUGCUAACUCUUCAACCC